RNAcentral lists this ribosomal RNA (796 nucleotides) under uncultured archaeon. RNAcentral's name for it is "bacterial SSU rRNA". It matches the Rfam family "Archaeal small subunit ribosomal RNA", at positions 85 to 879 of the family's 1478-position model. The record is from RNAcentral.
ACUGCUCAGUAACACGUGGAUAACCUGCCCUUGGGUCCGGCAUAACCCCGGGAAACUGGGGAUAAUUCCGGAUAACGCACAUAUGCUGGAAUGCUUUAUGCGUCAAAUGGAUUCGUCUGCCCAAGGAUGGGUCUGCGGCCUAUCAGGUAGUAGUGGGUGUAAUGUACCUACUAGCCGACGACGGGUACGGGUUGUGAGAGCAAGAGCCCGGAGAUGGAUUCUGAGACAUGAAUCCAGGCCCUACGGGGCGCAGCAGGCGCGAAAACUUUACAAUGCGGGAAACCGUGAUAAGGGGACACCGAGUGCCAGCAUCAUAUGCUGGCUGUCCAGGUGUGUAAAAUACACCUGUUAGCAAGGGCCGGGCAAGACCGGUGCCAGCCGCCGCGGUAACACCGGCGGCCCGAGUGGUGAUCGUGAUUAUUGGGUCUAAAGGGUCCGUAGCCGGUUUGGUCAGUCCUCCGGGAAAUCUGAUAGCUCAACUAUUAGGCUUUCGGGGGAUACUGCCAGACUUGGAACCGGGAGAGGUAAGAGGUACUACAGGGGUAGGAGUGAAAUCUUGUAAUCCCUGUGGGACCACCUGUGGCGAAGGCGUCUUACCAGAACGGGUUCGACGGUGAGGGACGAAAGCUGGGGGCACGAACCGGAUUAGAUACCCGGGUGGUCCCAGCCGUAAACGAUGCUCGCUAGGUGUCAGACAUGGCGCGACCGUGUCUGGUGCCGCAGGGAAGCCGUGAAGCGAGCCACCUGGGAAGUACGGCCGCAAGGCUGAAACUUAAAGGAAUUGGCGGGGGAGCAC